RNAcentral lists this ribosomal RNA (492 nucleotides) under uncultured bacterium. RNAcentral's name for it is "partial 16S ribosomal RNA". It matches the Rfam family "Bacterial small subunit ribosomal RNA", at positions 29 to 507 of the family's 1533-position model. The record is from RNAcentral.
AGUGAACGCUGGCGGUAGGCCUAACACAUGCAAGUCGAACGGCAGCACAGUAAGAGCUUGCUCUUACGGGUGGCGAGUGGCGGACGGGUGAGGAAUACAUCGGAAUCUACUUUUUCGUGGGGGAUAACGUAGGGAAACUUACGCUAAUACCGCAUACGACCUACGGGUGAAAGCAGUGGAUCUUCGGACCUUGCGCGAUUGAAUGAGCCGAUGUCGGAUUAGCUAGUUGGCGGGGUAAAGGCCCACCAAGGCGACGAUCCGUAGCUGGUCUGAGAGGAUGAUCAGCCACACUGGAACUGAGACACGGUCCAGACUCCUACGGGAGGCAGCAGUGGGGAAUAUUGGGCAAUGGGCGCAAGCCUGAUCCAGCCAUGCCGCGUGGGUGAAGAAGGCCUUCGGGUUGUAAAGCCCUUUUGUUGGGAAAGAAAAGCAGCAGGUUAAUACCCCGCUGUUCUGACGGUACCCAAAGAAUAAGCACCGGCUAACUUCGUG